GCAAGUCGAACGAAGUCGCCCAAUUGAUUCUUAGUGCUUGCAUUAAGAUGAUUUUGGAUCCGACUGAGUGGCGAACUGGUGAGUAACACGUGGGUAACCUGCCCAGAAGAAGGGGAUAACACCUGGAAACAGAUGCUAAUACCGUAUAACAACAAGAACCACAUGGUUCUUGUUUGAAAGCUGGCCUUUGUGCUAGUGCUUCUGGAUGGACCCGCGGCGUAUUAGCUAGUUGGUGAGAUAAUAGCUCACCAAGGCAAUGAUACGUAGCAGACCUGAGAGGGUAAUCUGCCACAAUGGGACUGAGACACGGCCCAUACUCCUACGGGAGGCAGCAGUAGGGAAUCUUCCACAAUGGACGAAAGUCUGAUGGAGCAACGCCGCGUGAGUGAAGAAGGGUUUCGGCUCGUAAAACUCUGUUGUUAGAGAAGAACAGCCGUGAGAGCAACUGCUCACGGUAUGACGGUAUCUAACCAGAAAGUCACGGCUAACUACGUGCCAGCAGCCGCGGUAAUACGUAGGUGGCAAACGUUGUCCGGAUUUAUUGGGCGUAAAGGGAGCGCAGGCGGUUUAUUAAGUCUGAUGUGAAAGCCUUCGGCUUAACCGGAGAAGUGCAUCGGAAACUGAUAAACUUGAGUGCAGAAAAGGAUAGUGGAACUUCAUGUGUAGCGGUGAAAUGCGUAGAUAUAUGAAGGAACACCAGUGGCGAAGGCGGCUAUCUGGUCUGUAACUGACGCUGAGGCUCGAAAGCAUGGGUAGCAAACAGGAUUAGAUACCCUGGUAGUCCAUGCCGUAAACGAUGAAUGCUAGGUGUUGGAAGGUUUCCGCCUUUCAGUGCCGCAGCUAACGCAUUAAGCAUUCCGCCUGGGGAGUACGACCGCAAGGUUG
Molecule: ribosomal RNA, 885 nt
Filed under: Fructilactobacillus sanfranciscensis
Lineage: Bacteria; Bacillati; Bacillota; Bacilli; Lactobacillales; Lactobacillaceae
Description: bacterial SSU rRNA
Rfam family: Bacterial small subunit ribosomal RNA
Source: RNAcentral